UGGGUUCAGAACGUCGCGAGACAGUUCGGUCCUCUAUCCUCUGUGGGCGUAGGAGAAUUGAGGGGUUCAUUUCCUAGUACGAGAGGACCGGAAAUGACGCACCUCUGGUGCACCAGUUGUUCUGUCAAGGGCACGGCUGGGUAGCUAUGUGCGGACUCGAUAAGCGCUGAAAGCAUCUAAGCGUCAAGCGAUUCCCAAGAUGAAUUCUCCCUGAAGGAUCGUGGAAGACUACCACGUUGAUAGGCUGCAGGUAUAAGGUCAGUAAUGGUCUCAGCUGAGCAGUACUAAUCAUCCGUCUGGCUUGUUUCA
This 309-nucleotide ribosomal RNA is filed under the name Verrucomicrobiia bacterium. RNAcentral describes it as "partial 23S ribosomal RNA". It matches the Rfam family "Bacterial large subunit ribosomal RNA", at positions 2606 to 2925 of the family's 2925-position model. The record is from RNAcentral. Lineage: Bacteria; Pseudomonadati; Verrucomicrobiota; Verrucomicrobiia.